CGAACUGAAUAGGAUCCAUUUCGUAUAACCUUAAUAAUUGGAUUAAGGGUCUCUACUUAGAAACCGUAAAUUUCUAGCUACGAAAAAUGUGCAUACCGGC
This 100-nucleotide non-coding RNA is filed under the name Paenibacillus ferrarius. Its description in RNAcentral is "Guanine sequence". It matches the Rfam family "Purine riboswitch aptamer". Rfam says of the family: Riboswitches are metabolite binding domains within certain messenger RNAs that serve as precision sensors for their corresponding targets. Lineage: Bacteria; Bacillati; Bacillota; Bacilli; Caryophanales; Paenibacillaceae. The record is from Rfam by way of RNAcentral.